Molecule: long non-coding RNA, 579 nt
Organism: Cyprinus carpio carpio
Lineage: Eukaryota; Metazoa; Chordata; Actinopteri; Cypriniformes; Cyprinidae
Source: Ensembl
GAUCCUCUGAGCCACCGUACACAUACACACUGUUGCAGGAAAACGCUCCGCAGUUGCGAAUGAGAAGAGCAUGUAUCCCUGAAAAUAAAUAAAUAAAUAAAUCAGCUGCUUUAACCCUGUUUGAUCAUGACAGAGUACUCACACGUAAAGUCCACCAAACUCGUCCUAAAAGGAUUAAACGAUAAAAAGGCUUUCUUUUUUGUAUUGCGUUCCACCAAAGUUUUAUCAUUUCUAAUUAAUGUUUACAGUUAAUUAACGUAAGUUACUGUUCUAAUUGAUGUGAGCAGCUGCGUAAUGUUGUGCCAAGAGUUAUGUCAAUAUCACGUUUUUUGACGCUAACGGUAAUAUUAAAUUGCCUCCACCUUCCAUAAUGUGCUGAAAGAAGAAAAAUAACAAAGACAAGAAGAGAAAACGAGAUGAUGAUGAAGACAGGAUGGAUAUCGUUGGUAUAUAUUGCCACUUUGCCCAAGGAGUUAUAAAAGGAGCAUGGUGGCCCAUAAUCAAGUGCAUUUAUAUAGUGAGGAUGAAGGCCCAGAUCCUCCAGAACAGUUUACUGCCAUCAGACUCUCAGACUCCAGG